AUAUAAUACAACCUGCUAAGUGUCCUAGCACUUAGCAGGUUGUAUUAUCAUUGUCCG
This is a microRNA precursor of Heterocephalus glaber (naked mole-rat), 57 nucleotides long. Lineage: Eukaryota; Metazoa; Chordata; Mammalia; Rodentia; Bathyergidae. The record is from Ensembl.